This 254-nucleotide ribosomal RNA is filed under the name uncultured bacterium. RNAcentral's name for it is "partial 16S ribosomal RNA". It matches the Rfam family "Bacterial small subunit ribosomal RNA", at positions 524 to 776 of the family's 1533-position model. The record is from RNAcentral.
UACGGGGGGAGCAAGCGUUGUUCGGAUUUACUGGGCGUAAAGGGCGCGUAGGCGGGCCAGCCAGUCUGUGGUGAAAGCCUCCAGCUUAACUGGAGAAGUGCCGUGGAUACUGCUGGCCUCGAGGAGGGUAGGGGCAUCUGGAACGGUCGGUGGAGCGGUGAAAUGCGUUGAUAUCGACCGGAACUCCGGUGGCGAAGGCGAGGUGCUGGGCCCUUUCUGACGCUGAGUGCGCGAAAGCCAGGGGAGCAAACGGG